GAUGAACGCUAGCGGCAGGCUUAAUACAUGCAAGUCGAGGGGCAGCACGGUUAGCAAUAACUGGUGGCGACCGGCGCACGGGUGCGUAACACGUAUACAAUCUACCUUAAACAGGGGAUAGCCUUUCGAAAGAGAGAUUAAUACCCCGUAAUAAAUUGAACGGCAUCGUUUGAUUUUGAAAGCUCCGGCGGUUUGAGAUGAGUAUGCGUCUGAUUAGCUAGUUGGUGAGGUAACGGCUCACCAAGGCGACGAUCAGUAGGGGAUCUGAGAGGACUAACCCCCCACACUGGUACUGAGACACGGACCAGACUCCUACGGGAGGCAGCAGUAAGGAAUAUUGGUCAAUGGAGGCAACUCUGAACCAGCCAUGCCGCGUGCAGGAUGACGGCCCUAUGGGUUGUAAACUGCUUUUAUACAAGAGAAAACCCUGGUACGUGUACCAGGUUGAUAGUAUUGUAAGAAUAAGCAUCGGCUAACUUCGUGCCAGCAGCCGCGGUAA
Molecule: ribosomal RNA, 499 nt
Filed under: uncultured bacterium
Lineage: Bacteria
Description: bacterial SSU rRNA
Rfam family: Bacterial small subunit ribosomal RNA
Source: RNAcentral